AUUGAACGCUGGCGGCAGGCCUAACACAUGCAAGUCGAACGGUAACAGGAAGAAGCUUGCUUCUUUGCUGACGAGUGGCGGACGGGUGAGUAAUGUCUGGGAAACUGCCUGAUGGAGGGGGAUAACUACUGGAAACGGUAGCUAAUACCGCAUAACGUCGCAAGACCAAAGAGGGGGACCUUCGGGCCUCUUGCCAUCGGAUGUGCCCAGAUGGGAUUAGCUAGUAGGUGGGGUAACGGCUCACCUAGGCGACGAUCCCUAGCUGGUCUGAGAGGAUGACCAGCCACACUGGAACUGAGACACGGUCCAGACUCCUACGGGAGGCAGCAGUGGGGAAUAUUGCACAAUGGGCGCAAGCCUGAUGCAGCCAUGCCGCGUGUAUGGAGAAGGCCUUCGGGUUGUAAAGUACUUUCAGCGGGGAGGAAGGGAGUAAAGUUAAUACCUUUGCUCAUUGACGUUACCCGCAGAAGAAGCACCGGCUAACUCCGUG
This 490-nucleotide ribosomal RNA is filed under the name uncultured bacterium. RNAcentral's name for it is "partial 16S ribosomal RNA". It matches the Rfam family "Bacterial small subunit ribosomal RNA", at positions 30 to 507 of the family's 1533-position model. The record is from RNAcentral.